Non-coding RNA from Camelina sativa (false flax), 1171 nucleotides. Lineage: Eukaryota; Viridiplantae; Streptophyta; Magnoliopsida; Brassicales; Brassicaceae. The record is from RefSeq and is a predicted model, not a curated record.
AUUUACUCCUAUGUGGACUAAACAAAAGGGAAACGAUAGCGUUUAAUCAAUGGCUCGAUCUCUUCUUCUUCGUCGUCGUGAUACCAUGGAUCGACUGUUCUGUUUCUUCGGCGCCGUUUAUACCAUGGUCCGACUGUGUUGCUCAUCCUAGCCAUGGCUCUCUCUACCAAUCUGAGCAGAUCCGACGAUGAUGUUACCCCCAUCGCUGGUCGAUCGGUUGUGGUGGAUUUCUUCUUCUUCGAUCCACCAGAAUAUGUUCAUCAGAUCCGACGAUGAUGGGUUUCUUCUUCUUCUACUUUUCGUUCCCAGAAAUUGGAGGAGAUCCGAGGGAAAAAAAGAUGAGUGCUCCGGUGAAAGAGGAGAGCUAUUUUUGUGUGGAACUGAGUGUCAUUUUAACCGAGUUGUAUCGGCUAAGAUGACAUCAAAUUAGACCAGUGGCCGAGUUUCAAGUCCUACACCUUAGGAGACGCAACACAGAAUGUGUUCCUUAUGCCAGGGGAAGUUGUUUUCUCCAGUAAUUCAGUAUUGCAUAUGAACUUGCAAACCGAUUAUGUUACAUGUCUAAAGCAAGCUACGGCUGCGAGUCUCUCAGACUCUACAUUCUGUUUCGGAUCAGAACCUCUCUUUGAACCUGUAAGGAGUCUCAAUUGAUCUGAAGGCCAGAGACCUUUGUCUUUUCUGAAGUACUAUUGACAGCAUGAGGCCAUCGUGUUGAGAUCUGGAAGGCUGGCUAUUGUGGUGACUGUGAAGUUGAUCAGAAAUGGUUUCACCUAAGUGUUUCUGGGUCUGUAUAAUGCAUGUAAAGUGGAGACUGUGGCUUGUGUCGGAUCUCUGCAAAGUAUGCCGAAGAGGAAGAUCUGCUGGUGAGAUAAAGGAUGAAGAAAAACACAGUAGUCUAGAAGCGGGUCCCGAUCAGAAUUAACCAACACAGCUGAUGAACGUUAAUAGCAAAUUUAGAAGCAUAUAGAGAGAAGCAAAGGUGAGCUUGCAACUGAUGUCCACUUAAAUGAUAUCUUCUACUUGGUUGAGUUUUAUAUACAUAUGAUAUUUGUUUAUUGUUUGAAUUCAAGUUUGUAUCGCUUAUCAAAGGAACCGAUUAUCAUGCUUCAUACAGACUUUGUAUCUUAUUUCUAUGUCCCUGCUUUCACAGUAAACAUCCUCCUUACAAUGA